This is a long non-coding RNA of Schistocerca cancellata (South American locust), 424 nucleotides long. RefSeq lists it as uncharacterized. Lineage: Eukaryota; Metazoa; Arthropoda; Insecta; Orthoptera; Acrididae. The record is from RefSeq and is a predicted model, not a curated record. The transcript is spliced from 2 exons.
UAAAGGCUCAUUACAUGCUAAUGACUGUUCAGUCUUCGGACUAAAUUGUGAUGAAAUACAGGCACUCACAAAACGUUACCAGAACACCUCUGCAGAGACGCUUAAUGGAGUUAUAAUAAAAGUAAUGAAAAAAAAGUGCAAAAAGUGGUGAAUGACCAGAAAAAGUUGAUAACAUAAAAAUCUUCAAUCUUUUAAAUUUUACUGGGAGAAAACUGAUAAUAUUUGUGUAAACACAGAAAGUGACCUGCAACUCAUGUAAAUUCUCAUUACUAAGUAAGAGGAGAAAGUUGGAAAAUGUGCAUAAACCUGAAUUUUUCAUAAGCAGUAUCUGAAGACAUAAUAGAAGAGAAAUAGGUCCUCGUAGUUUUUUGUAAUACCUAUGAAGGAAAUGUAAAUUUCAAUUAAAACAUUCUCACAAAAUAAA